CCUAAUACGUUACUGUUUUGACGUUACCGACAGAAUAAGCACCGGCUAACUCUGUGCCAGCAGCCGCGGUAAUACAUAGGGUGCAAGCGUUAAUCGGAAUUACUGGGCGUAAAGCGCGCGUAGGUGGUUUGUUAAGUCGGAUGUGAAAUCCCCGGGCUCAACCUGGGAACUGCAUUCAAAACUGGCUGACUAGAGUGUGGUAGAGGGU
This 208-nucleotide ribosomal RNA is filed under the name uncultured Gammaproteobacteria bacterium. RNAcentral describes it as "partial 16S ribosomal RNA". It matches the Rfam family "Bacterial small subunit ribosomal RNA", at positions 452 to 659 of the family's 1533-position model. Lineage: Bacteria; Pseudomonadati; Pseudomonadota; Gammaproteobacteria. The record is from RNAcentral.